GUGGAUGAUCGGUAGCUUAUAGUUUGUGGCAUUAAACAGUGAGCAAGAGAGCUGAAUAAAUUUUCUUUUUUACUUAUUUGAUGAUUGCAUCUAGAUUCCUUGGACGAACCAAUCCGGACGAAGAAUGCCUUGUCUGGCUGCUCUGGCAAGUGCAUCCGCUUGAUGAUUGGUUGAGCGGUGAGUGUAGGCCACCGUGAUGAACGGGAAAAACGAGGCGACAUCCGUGAUCCGUCCUAGGUCCGCAAGGCAUUGCUAUGGCCAUCGAUGUUUAGGGUUGCGCGUAACCG
This 287-nucleotide long non-coding RNA is filed under the name Linum usitatissimum (flax). RNAcentral describes it as "long non-coding RNA (LUSI_LNC003454)". The record is from RNAcentral. Lineage: Eukaryota; Viridiplantae; Streptophyta; Magnoliopsida; Malpighiales; Linaceae.